GGUCAGUAGGUUGGUCGUGCCAACGGUACGUACUGGUCUCACUGAUUCCUCCUUCCUGAAGAACCGUAAUGCCGUUAAUUUGGUGUUGCGGGGAAACAGGACUGUUACUUUGAAAAAAUUAGAGUGUUUAAAGCAAGCUAACGCUUGAAUACAUUAGCAUGGAAUAAUGAAAUAGGACGAUCGAUCCUAUUUUGUUGGUUUCUAGGAUUGACGUA
Molecule: ribosomal RNA, 215 nt
Filed under: Glomeromycotina sp.
Lineage: Eukaryota; Fungi; Glomeromycota
Description: partial small subunit ribosomal RNA
Rfam family: Eukaryotic small subunit ribosomal RNA (bases 39-215)
Source: RNAcentral